UGGGGAAUAUUGCACAAUGGGGAAGACCCUGAUGCAGCGACGCCGCGUGAAGGAAGAAGUAUCUCGGUAUGUAAACUUCUAUCAGCAGGGAAGAAAAUGACGGUACCUGACUAAGAAGCCCCGGCUAACUACGUGCCAGCAGCCGCGGUAAUACGUAGGGGCAAGCGUUAUCCGGAUUUACUGGGUGUAAAGGGAGCGUAGACGGAGCAGCAAGUCUGAUGUGAAAGGCGGGGGCUCAACCCCGGCGCACGCAUUGGAAACUGUUGAUCUUGAGUACCGGAGAGGUAAGCGGAAUUCCUAGUGUAGCGGUGAAAUGCGUAGAUAUUAGGAGGAACACCAGUGGCGAAGGCGGCUUGCUGGACGAUGACUGACGUUGAGGCUCGAAAGCGUGGGGAGCAAAACAGGAUUAGAUACCC
RNAcentral lists this ribosomal RNA (416 nucleotides) under uncultured bacterium. Its description in RNAcentral is "bacterial SSU rRNA". It matches the Rfam family "Bacterial small subunit ribosomal RNA", at positions 355 to 787 of the family's 1533-position model. The record is from RNAcentral.